RNAcentral lists this unclassified non-coding RNA (1301 nucleotides) under Pomacea canaliculata. Its description in RNAcentral is "uncharacterized oxidoreductase YjmC-like, transcript variant X1". The record is from RNAcentral. Lineage: Eukaryota; Metazoa; Mollusca; Gastropoda; Architaenioglossa; Ampullariidae.
UCGACCCAAAGUUAGCUUCAGCGUCUCAGCAGCAUGACUUGACGCACGUGUGCGAGGAUCGACACACGUGACGUUGAAUGUAACAGCAGGUGACUGUAGCAUCAUGAUGCUGUUGCUCUGGCACUCGCAAGUGACUAAGCACUGACUGCUACACCACAAUCCGCCAGACCUAUAAUGACAACGUGGGAACAGCUCGCAAAGCAGACGACAGUCGUCGACGACAAUAGCGAUGUCAUAGUGCCACGAGAUGAGGUUCACGCGUUCUGCAUGAGAUGCCUGCAGAAGGUGGGCGCCGUCACAGAGCACGCCGAGGCAAUGGCCGAGCUCAUCGUGGCGGCUGACUACCGGGGCCAUUACAGCCAUGGACUCAACAGGCUGGGUUUUUAUAUUGAAGACCUCCGCAGUGGACAAGUCAUCUCUAAACCUGAAGUGCACCCAACGAUUGUGAAGGAAACAGUGGCUACUGCUUUGGUAGACGGCAACAACCUCAUGGGUCCCGUGGUGGGCACCUUCGCCAUGGAUCUCGCCAUACGCAAGGCCAAGCAUGCCGGCAUUGGGUGGGUCAGUGUCAAAGGAUCGAACCACUUCGGUAUCGCUGGUUGGUACAGCAUGAGGGCCGUGGAACAAGAGCUCAUAGGAAUGGCUUUCACAAAUACAUCGCCAUGCCUGGUUCCAACACGCGCCAGACAGAAAGCACUUGGGACAAAUCCAAUCUCGGUUGCGGCCCCUGCUAAGGAUGGCGACAGCUUCGUCUUGGACAUGGCGACGACUGUGGCGGCGAUAGGAAAGGUGGAAAUGAAGCACACACUUCAGCAACCACUUCCGGCUGGCUGGUCAUUGGACAGUGACGGCAGACCAACAGAGGACAUAGACAAAGCUAUGGCUAGCUUGGCAUUAUACCCGUUAGGGGGCACUGAAGAAACAAGUGGCUACAAAGGUUAUGGGCUGGCCAUGAUGGUGGAGGUUUUCUGCACCAUCCUCAGUGGCGCCACCGUCAGCCCCUUCACUCAAGGCUGGUCUGACAAGAUGCGUUCUAGGGAGGCAAACCGCGGACAUUGUUUCGUGGCCCUGGACCCACAAGUGUUUGCUCCAGGGUUCACUGACCGCUUGAGCGAGCUGUUGAACCACUGCCGCAACCUCCCGCCGGUAAUUUCACUUUGACAUGGGCAAGGCAGAGGGAGAGAGCCAGGUGUUAGUCCCAGGUGACCCCGAGCGACAACACAUGAAACACUGCGACGCCAUUGGCGGAAUCCCCUACAAACAAAACCAGAUUAAACUUGUGAAUAACCUGGCCGAGAAGA